Xenopus tropicalis (tropical clawed frog) is the source of this 195-nucleotide long non-coding RNA. RefSeq lists it as uncharacterized. NCBI's taxonomy places the organism in Eukaryota, Metazoa, Chordata, Amphibia, Anura, Pipidae. The record is from RefSeq and is a predicted model, not a curated record. The transcript is spliced from 2 exons.
UGUCAUCAGUGCACACAGUUGUAAAGCGAUCCUUCUGGGUACAGCAGCACACUAAAGCGUCUGUACGACUCCGACACUCGCACAUCUCUCCCUUCUGCUAGACAAGAAAAAAUCUGGACAAUGUUACCUGGAUUUUGCACCUUCAAGGGAAUUGCACGCACCCUGGGAAUGGCAAUCAAUGAUCGUCCAGACCUG